Molecule: ribosomal RNA, 460 nt
Filed under: uncultured bacterium
Lineage: Bacteria
Description: bacterial SSU rRNA
Rfam family: Bacterial small subunit ribosomal RNA
Source: RNAcentral
GUACGGGAGGCAGCAGUGAGGAAUUUUGCGCAAUAGGGGAAACCCUGACGCAGCAACGCCGCGUGAGUGAAGAAGGCCUUCGGGUCGUAAAGCUCUGUCAAGUGGGAAAAAAUUCAACCGGUGAAUAGCCGGUUGGACUGAUGGUACCACUAGAGGAAGCACCGGCUAACUCCGUGCCAGCAGCCGCGGUAAUACGGAGGGUGCAAGCGUUGUUCGGAAUUACUGGGCGUAAAGCGCGUGUAGGCGGUUUGGUAAGUCAGAUGUGAAAGCCCUGAGCUCAACUCAGGAAGUGCAUUUGAAACUGCCAUACUCGAGUAUGGGAGAGGAGAGUGGAAUUCCCAGUGUAGAGGUGAAAUUCGUAGAUAUUGGGAGGAACACCCGUGGCGAAGGCGACUCUCUGGACCAAUACUGACGCUGAGACGCGAAAGCGUGGGGAGCAAACAGGAUUAGAUACCCUGGU